AACCCAGGUAGGUGUCCUUGCCCUGGAAUCGAACCUAUGAUCCUUUGGUGUGCAUGCCGACGCUCCAACCACUGAGCAACACUGGCCAGCCUUAAUGCCAUAUUUUUAAAAAUAAAAAUUAAUGCAAAAAAAUUUCCAUGUUUGACAAUAAAUCUCACGAUUUUCUAACAGUACCAUGCUGAGCUGUUUUGGAACCGGACGCCAAAGGGAAAGCUGACUCUGUGACUUAAGUUAGCCAGAUACUGAAGGAUAUUGUUGGUAACUGGGCCAGACAUGCAAAGACGAAGAUGAGAAGAGCCCCUGGUCAGGGUAAAGCUGGACAGUUAGAUUCCUUGAGCCAAUGCCUGAAAGAAGUUUCCAGACUCUGGUUUUCAAGAAAAGAUUCAUAUCAUUGAACCUACACACUUUAAUUAACUGAAUCCCAAAGCUUUCUGAUUUAUUGAUUAUGAGAUUGAGAUGUAUAUAAUUUUUAUGGCUUAUGACUUUUUACGUUGACCCCACAAAACAGAUAUUCUGUGUUGUAAGAUGACAACUAUUUCCUAUCUCAAUAUCAGAGUCCACAGUUCUAUAUAGUGUGGCAGUAGUGGACUUUAAUUGCUUUUUCCUUAGAAUCACCAGCACUUGUAUCCAAAGAUCAAACACCACGAAACUGUGGACUCUGUGCCUUGUAACACAAGGGGAAAGCAAAAUAAAAGAUUGAAAAAGCACUCAGCUAGUUGGUCUCGCCUGAGGAUCUAGAUGAGAAUUGAGAUGCUGACACCGAAUAUGUUGGAUUUAAAGAGUUCUCUGUAUCAUUUGUUGUUGAUUUGCUGGUGCUGGAAACAAUGGCAUGGUCCCCUGUAACCAGCAUCAGUUGAAAGUGUGUUCUAUUGUCUUAAACAGGAAGUUCUUCAGACAGGCAUCAUGGGCAUCCGAGGGCUAAUGAGUUUUGUGGAAGAUCAUAGUAAUGAGUUCUUCACUGAUUUGAAGUUGCGAGACACAAAAAUGAUCAUUGAUGGCUAUGCUCUCUUCCACCGGCUCUGCUUCAACUCAAACUUGGAGCUCCGGUAUGGAGGGGACUAUGAUGCUUUUGCAGAUGUUGUACAACAAUUCUUCGAAUCACUGUUUUCUUGUAAUAUAUGUCCAUAUGUUGUAUUAGAUGGAGGAUGUGACAUUUCAGAUAAAAAGCUUACAACUUUGAAGGCUCGAGCUCGAGAGAAGAUCCAGGCGGCCCAUUCCCUUUCUGUUGGUGGGUGUGGGUGUGUGUGUCCCCUACUCAUCCGGGAAGUGUUCAUACAAGUUUUGAUCAAGCUGCGGGUACAUUUUGUCCAGUGCUUUUCAGAAGCGGACCGGGACAUUAUGACGCUGGCUAAUCAUUGGAAUUGCCCUGUGUUAUCGUCGGAUAGUGACUUUUGCAUUUUUGACCUGAAAACUGGGUUUUGCCCAUUGAAUAGCUUUCAGUGGAGAAACGUGAACACUAUCAAGGGCACACAGAGCCAUUAUAUCCCCGCCAAAUGCUUUUCUCUUGAUGCACUCUGCCACUACUUCAGCAAUAUGAAUAAAGCUCUCCUACCUCUCUUUGCGGUGCUAUGCGGAAACGACUACAUUAACCUGCCCAUCAUGGACACGUUCUUAAGUAAAGUACAUCUUCCUCUGGGAGCUGCCAGUGCUAAGGGGAGGAGACACCACCGAGUUCUGGGGCUUCUGAAUUGGUUGUCUCGUUUUGCUGACCCCCCCGAAGCUCUAGAUAAUGUUCUGAAAUAUCUCCCACAAAAGGAUCGAGAAGAUGUGAAGGAACUUCUCUGUUGUGCCAUGGAAGAAUACCAGCCGUCCCAGGUGAAGCUGCAGGACUUCUUCCAGUGUGGCACGUACGUCUGUCCGGAGGCCUUGAGUCUGGGUUUGCCAGAAUGGGUCCUAGUGGCUUUGGCCAAAGGUCAGCUAUCUCCUUUCAUCAGCGAUGCUUUGGUGCUAAGACGGACCAUUCUUCACACACAAGUGGAAAACAUGCAGCAACCAAAUGCCCACAGAAUAUCUCUGCCCAUCCGGCAAAUCAUCUAUGGGCUUCUUUUGAAUGUUUCUGCACCUCUGGGAAGUGUGUCCUUGAAUGCAUCGCCUCCUCGGUCUCUCGCUUUCAGCGAAGUGGAAAGGAUUAAUAAAAGCAUCAAAACAUCGGUUGUUGAUGCCGUAGACCUGCCCAAGGAUCAUCCUGACUUAAGCAGAUUGACUGAGCUUUCCUCAGCUAGACGGCAGACACUUCUUUUAGAAACGUUAAAGGUGAAACAGACCAUCCUGGACCCAAUCCCUACUUCUUUGAAGUUGCCCAUUGCUGUCAGUUGCUACUGGUUGCAGCACAUGGAGGCCAAGGCAAAACUACAUCAUCUACAAGCCUUGCUGCUGGGGAUGCUGCUGGGGCCCUUGCAUGCCAUAAUCAACAGCCCUGGAAUUGUGGACCUGGCUCCCAGGCAGGCUCAGUGCCUUGCUGCUCGCUAAUUGGUAAAAGAUAAAGAAGAUCUGCGGAAGGAUGGUGCUAAGAUGUUGUAUGAAGAGUUCCAAAGAGUGAAGGAGCAGACGCGGCCGGGCCCGAGACUGGAUUUAGACACAGCUCACAUCUUCUGUCAGUGGCAGAGCUGUCUGCUGAUGGGGAUGUAUCUUAAUCAGCUGCUGUUCACGCCUCUCCCAGAGCCAGACCUAACUCGAUUGUAUAGUGGAAGCCUGGUGCAUGGACUGUGCCGACAACUGCUAACAUCAACCUCUGUAGAAAGUCUUCUGAGCAAGUGUCCUGAGGCCAUGCAACUUUAUGAACACCUAUUCAAUGCCACAAGGUCAUAUGCCCCUGCUGAAUUAUUCCUACCAAAGGGUAAAUCAAAUUCUAAAAAGAAAAGGCGAAAGAAACAAGGUGCCAGCCGGUCAAAGAACAGUGUGGGAACCCUCUCAGACAACAGAUGCUGGUAUGAGAGGAGCAAUCGGUUUGGGCCAUUAAUGGUUGAAAACAUGGAGGAACAUACUGAGGCCUCAGAGUUUGAAUAAACUCAGUCUGCAACCAGAUGUAUUAUUCUUACUUGAAAUUUUUUUGUUAUCUGCCUUGAAAUGAUUAACUUUUUUUUAGAACUAACCUGUUAGGGGACAUUACAAUAGGUAAUCUCUGAAUUCCAAGAUAUUUUGUAUUCUGUUUUUAAUAAAUACAACCUGAUUUAAGAA
RNA transcript from Myotis brandtii (Brandt's bat), 3177 nucleotides. It is a transcript of the gene named asteroid homolog 1 (Drosophila), with no coding region annotated. The transcript has 5 exons. Lineage: Eukaryota; Metazoa; Chordata; Mammalia; Chiroptera; Vespertilionidae. The record is from RefSeq and is a predicted model, not a curated record.